This 7287-nucleotide long non-coding RNA is filed under the name Scleropages formosus (Asian bonytongue). RNAcentral describes it as "lncRNA (ENSSFOG00015024947.1)". Lineage: Eukaryota; Metazoa; Chordata; Actinopteri; Osteoglossiformes; Osteoglossidae. The record is from RNAcentral.
AUUACAGAUCCUACUCCACCUCCGCCAGUCACUACAGUCAGUAAGCAAUCUUCAAAAGGUCCAUCUACUACACUGACAAAUUAUCAUACAUUCACUUUACCACAAAACACACUUUCUCAGAAUCCAGUAAAAAGAACCCAGCAAACAGUAACCAUCCAACAUAAUACUGAAAAUGCAGCAUCUCCAAAAUCAACCACUUUAAGAAAAACCACUACAAUUACAAAACCCACAUCUCCAAAAUCAGUCACUUUAAGAAAAACCACUACAAUCGCAAAACCCACAUCUCCAAAAUCAACUGCUUUAAGAAAAACCACUACAAUCACAAAACCCACAUCUCCAAAAUCAACUGCUUUAAGAAAAACCACUACAAUUACAAAACCCACAUCUCCAAAAUCAAAUACUUCAAGAAAAACCACUAAAAUCGCAAAAUCCACACCUCCAAAACCAAGCAGAACUACAAAAAAUACUGUAACAAUAUUGAUGAAUUUUUCUGACCCAACUACUACCAUAAACAGUACCAGAGUCCAUCAACCCAGCACUGGCACAGUGACCACUGGUACAAAUAGUACCACAGGUCAUCUACCCCACACUGGUAAACUCACCUCUGAUGUACAUAGUAUUCCUCUACCCAACACUGAUGUACUGACGAUUGGUACAAAUAUUACCACAGCUCCUGAACCCAGCACUGGCACAGUGACCACUCGUAUAAAUAGUACCACAGGUCAUCUACCCCACACUGGUAAACUCACCUCUGAAAUACAUAGUACUCCACUACACAACACUAAUACACUGGCUAUUGGUACAAAUAUUACCACAGCUCCUCAACCCAGCACUGGCACAGUGACCACUCGUAUAAAUAGUACCACAGGUCAUCUACCCCACACUGGUAAACUCACCUCUGAAAUACAUAGUACUCCACUACCCAACACUGAUACACUGACUAUUAGUACAAAUAUUACCACAGCUCCUGAACCCAGCAUUAGCACAGUGAUCAGUGGUAUAAAUAGUACCACAGGUCAUCUACCCCACACUAGUAAACUCACCUCUGAUAUACAUAGUACUCCACUACCCAACACCGAUAUACUGACUAUUGGUACAAAUAUUACCACAGCUCCUCAACCCAGCACUGGCACAGUGACCACUGGAAUAAAUAGUACCACAGGUCAUCUACCCCACACUGGUAAACUCACCUCUGAUGUACAUAGUAUUCCUCUACCCAACACCGAUGUACUGACGAUUGGUACAAAUAUUACCACAGCUCCUCAACCCAGCAUUGGCACAGUGACCACUGGUAUAAAUAGUACCACUGAAAAUGCAACAGCUGCUAGAAAUACUACAGAUGUGACCACAACCACCAUUUCCAACACUUCUACUACUGUAAACACUCCUGAAACCACAAGAGAAAGCGAUAUUAACACUACUGCGGAUUUGUAUGAUUCAACAGAAUCAGAGCUCAAGAACAUCCCAGAAACUACAACAACCACAAACCCUGACAUAGACACCACAGACUAUGAUACUUCAAACACAACUGAAGGAAGUCAAAAAGACUUCAGCACCAGUUCUGUAGAUCUGUUUGAUUCAACUGAAGAACAAGAGGUCAACACCAUCCCAGAGACUUCAGAUCAUAAUACAAUCACAGAUUCUGACAUAGACACAGAUUAUGACACUACAAUCACAGCUGGCACAAUUCAAACAGCCAUCAGCACAAUUUCAGUAGAUCGACAUGAGACGAAAGAAGAACCAGAGCUCAACACCAUCCCAGAAACUACAAUAACUGUAGACCUUGACACAGACCCAACACACUAUGAUACUUCAAACACAACUAACACAAGUCAAAUAGACACCAAUCCCACUUCUAGAGAUCUCUAUCAUUCAACAGAAGAGCCAGAGCUCAACACCAUCUCAGAAUCUAUAACAACCAUAGAUCUUGAAAUAGACACAACACACUAUGAUACUUCAAAUACAACUAACACAAGUCAAAUAGACAUCAGCCCCACUUCUAUAGAUCUAUAUGAUUCAACAGAAGAGCCAGAGCUUAACACCAUCUCAGAAACUACAACUAUAGACCUUGAAACAGACACAACAGACUAUGACACUUCAAACACAACUGAAAGAAGUCAAAGAAACAUCACCACAACUUCAGAAGAUCUGUCUGAUUCAACAGAAGAACCAGAGCUCAACACCAUCUCAGAAAUUGCAACAACUGUAGACCUUGACAUAGACCCAACACACUAUGAUACUUCAAACACAACUAACAUAAGUCAAAUAGACAUCAACACAACUUCUAUACAUCUGCUUAAUUCCACAGAAGAACCAGAGUUGAACAUCAUUCCAGAAACUACAAAUGAUAAUAAAAUCACAGAUUUUGACAUAGACACAGAUUAUGACACCACAAUCACAGCUGGCACAAUUCAAACAGCCAUCGACACAACUUCAGUAGAUCGAUAUUAUACAACAGAAGAACCAGAGCUCAACACUAUCACAGAAACUACAACCAUAGCGCUUGACAUAGAAUCAACAGCCUAUGAUACUUCAAAUACAAUUAACAAAAGUCAAAGAGACAUCAAGACAACUGCAGAAGAUAUGUAUUUUUCAACAGAAGAACCAGAGCUCAACACCAUUCCAGAAAGGACAAAUUAUAGUAAAAUCACAGAUUUUGUCACAGAUACAAGUUUUGACACCAUAAUCACACCUGCCACAAUUCAAACAAACAUCAAUGCAAACUCAGUAACUCCUAAUGAAUCAUCAAGAAAAACUGAAAUUAAUGAGCAUGUAGAACAUACUGGUACAACACUAAAUAAAAAUAGCACUAAUGAGAAAAACGUAGCUAUAUCUUCGAUAAGUCAAGAAUUCAUCAGCAGAAGUUCAGCAACUUGGUUUAGUUCAACACCCCAAACCCCAGUUAACGUUCUGUCAGAACCUGCAAGUUUUACCACAAAAAGUAAUGCUCUACUUCAUAUGUCCACAUUGACAACAGCAAUUCCUGCACAUUCUAAUUGGCCAAGCUCUACUUUCCCACUGUCUACUUCAAGCACUGCUGAGGCUAUUUCAUCAAACACUACUUCGUCUCCCAUAACACCCUUUAACACAGCCCCACCGUCACCAGUGGCACAUACAGGACCUACAGCUGUGUCCACAGCAGAAGCUGCUGGUACAGCUUUUUUCACACAUAGACCAGAAGUUUACCUGGAAUUUACACUCAAUUUGACAUUUGAAGAGGACCUUAGGAAUUCAUCUUCUAAGAAGUUCUACCUCCUGGCAAAAAAUAUAACAGAAGCGCUGAAUUUGGUGUACAGAACCACAUACAUGAAUAAGUUUCUUGGCACUGUGGUGACAGGCUUCAGAAAAGGUUCUAUUGUGGUCAGCGUCUCCUUGAUCUUCUAUAACAUCAGCGUGAUGCCCAGCCUCGAGGAGGUGCAGAACACACUGAGAGCAUCCAAUCUCGCCCUGCUGCUGGUGCCAUCUUCCAUCAGUGCCUCACAAACUUCACAGUUUCCUCCAAUUACUGCAGUCAGUGCACAGUCAGAUAUAAGUGCACCUCCUACAUCAGGAAACCAGCACAUAGCAGGAUUAUCAACAACACAACUAAACAUGAGCACAAAUACAAAUUGCCAACCAGCACAUGCAAUCAAUAUGACAGUAAAAAACACCACCCAACCAGCUAGGGACAUAAGCAGUACCGACAUGGUCCUUGUGAACACGACCGCAGUGACUGCAGAUGCAAAAAUGAGCACAGCCAGCAUCUUGACUAGAGAAAUUGUAAAAAGUGCUGUAAAUACUACAUCUAGUAGAACUUCAACCACAAUUAGAAAAACUACAGCAACCAGUAUAAACCCAACCACCAGUAGAAAAACUGCUGAAACCACAAAAGCCAUAUCUCCAAAACCAACCAGAUUAAGAAAAACCACUACAAUCGCAAAAUCCACAUCUCCAAAAUCAACCACAUCAAGAAAAACCACUACAAUCACAAAACCCACAUCUCCAAAAUCAACCGCUUUAAGAAAAACCACUACAAUUACAAAACCCACAUCUCCAAAAUCAACCGCUUUAAGAAAAACCACUACAAUCGCAAAACCCACACCUCCAAAACCAAGCAGAACUACAAAAAAUACUGUAACAAUAUUGAUGAAUUUUUCUGACCCAACUACUGCCAUAAACAGUACCAGAGUCCAUCAACCCAGCACUGGCACAGUGACCACUGGUAUAAAUAGUACCACAAAUCAUCUACCCCACACUGGUAAACUCACCUCUGAAAUACAUAGUACUAAACUACCCAACACUAAUACACUGACUAUUGGUACAAAUAUUACCACAACUCCUGAACCCAGCAUUAGCACAGUGAUCAGUGGUAUAAAUAGUACCACAGGUCAUCUACCCCACACUGGUAAACUCACCUCUGAAAUACAUAGUUCUCCACUACCCAACACUAAUACACUGACUAUUGGUACAAAUAUUACCACAGCUCCUCAACCCAGCACUGGCACAGUGACCACUGGUAUAAAUAGUACCACAGGUCAUCUACCCCACACUGGUAAACUCACCUCUGAAAUACAUAGUACUCCGCUACCCAACACUAAUACACUGACUAUUGGUACAAAUACUACCACAGCUCCUCAACCCAGCAUUAUCACAGUGACCACUGGUAUAAAUAGUACCACAGGUCAUCUACCCCACACUGGUAAACUCACCUCUGAAAUACAUAGUACUCCACUACCUAACACUGAUACACUGACUAUUGGUACAAAUACUACCACAGCUCCUCAACCCAGCAUUAUCACAGUGACCACUGGUAUAAAUAGUACCACAGGUCAUCUACCCCACACUGGUAAACUCACCUCUGAAAUACAUAGUACUCCGCUACCCAACACUAAUACACUGACUAUUGGUACAAAUACUACCACAGCUCCUCAACCCAGCAUUAUCACAGUGACCACUGGUAUAAAUAGUACCACAGGUCAUCUACCCCACACUGGUAAACUCACCUCUGAAAUACAUAGUACUAAACUACCCAACACUAAUACACUGACUAUUGGUACAAAUAUUACCACAACUCCUGAACCCAGCAUUAGCACAGUGAUCAGUGGUAUAAAUAGUACCACAGGUCAUCUACCCCACACUGGUAAACUCACCUCUGAAAUACAUAGUUCUCCACUACCCAACACUAAUACACUGACUAUUGGUACAAAUAUUACCACAGCUCCUCAACCCAGCACUGGCACAGUGACCACUGGUAUAAAUAGUACCACAGGUCAUCUACCCCACACUGGUAAACUCACCUCUGAAAUACAUAGUACUCCACUACCCAACACUAAUACACUGGCUAUUGGUACAAAUAUUACCACAACUCCUCAACCCAGCAUUAGCACAGUGAUCACUGGUAUAAAUAGUACCACAAAUCAUCUACCCCACACUGGUAAACUCACCUCUGAAAUACAUAGUACUCCACUACCCAACACUGAUACACUGACUAUUGGUACAAAUACUACCACAGCUCCUCAACCCAGCACUGGCACAGUGAUCACUGGUAUAAAUAGUACCACAGGUCAUCUACCCCACACUGGUAAAUUCACCUCUGAAAUACAUAGUACUAAACUACCCAACACUAAUACACUGACUAUUGGUACAAAUAUUACCACAACUCCUGAACCCAGCAUUAGCACAGUGAUCAGUGCUAUAAAUAGUACCACAGGUCAUCUACCCCACACUGGUAAACUCACCUCUGAAAUACAUAGUUCUCCACUACCCAACACUAAUACACUGACUAUUGGUACAAAUAUUACCACAGCUCCUCAACCCAGCAUUGGCACAGUGACCACUGGUAUAAAUAGUACCACAAAUCAUCUACCCCACACUGGUAAACUCACUUCUGAAAUACAUAGUUCUCCACUACCCAACACUAAUACACUGACUAUUGGUACAAAUAUUACCACAGCUCCUCAACCCAGCAUUGGCACAAUGACCACUGGUAUAAAUAGUACCACAGGUCAUCUACCCCACACUGGUAAACUCACCUCUGAAAUACAUAGUACUCCACUACCCAACACUAAUACACUGACUUUUGGUACAAAUAUUACCACAGCUCCUGAACUCAGCAUUGGCACAGUGACCACUGGUAUAAAUAGUACCACAAAUCAUCUACCCCACACUGGUAAACUCACCUCUGAAAUACAUAGUACUCCACUACCCAACACUGAUACACUGACUAUUGGUACAAAUACUAUCACAACUCCUCAACCCAGCAUUAGCACAGUGAUCAGUGGUAUAAAUAGUACCACAAAUCAUCUACCCCACACUGGUAAACUCACCUCUGAAAUACAUAGUACUCCACAACCCAACACUAAUACACUGACUAUUGGUACAAAUAUUACCACAGCUCCUGAACCCAGCAUUAGCACAGUGAUCAGUGGUAUAAAUAGUACCACAAAUCAUCUACCCCACACUGGUAAACUCACCUCUGAAAUACAUAGUACUCCACUACCCAACACUAAUACACUGACUAUUGGUACAAAUAUUACCACAGCUCCUCAACCCAGCAUUGGCACAGUGACCACUGGUAUAAAUAGUACCACAAAUCAUCUACCCCACACUGGUAAACUCACCUCUGAAAUACAUAGUUCUCCACAACCCAACACUAAUACACUGACUAUUGGUACAAAUAUUACCACAGCUCCUCAACCCAGCAUUGGCACAGUGACCUCUGGUAUGAAUAGUACCACAGGUCCUCUACCCAACACUGGUAAACUGACCUCUGGAAUAAAUAGUAUUCCAAUAUCCAACACCAGUACACUGACAACUGGUAUAAACAAUACCUCAGCUCCUUUACUCAACACUGGUACACUUCACACUAUCAAUACCACACCUGGCUCCAGUGCAUCUGCUGUCACUACCAGCCAUAGUUACACUCCUACCAUCAGUGUGAAUGGUAAGAUCACGAUUCUGCUGAAUGCUUCCACACAUGGUGGUGGCAUGAAUCCUGCUGGAUCUGCACUGCCUUAUAGAACACCAUCUGGCCCUCUAUCUAACUAUUCAAGCACAGCAGCUACCACUUCAAGAGCCACUGCAGCCACGCAACUCACCACCCUGAGACCAAUAUCAAGCACAAGUAUUUUCCACAGAAAGUUCACACUAAAAUUCAGCCUCAGUGAAACGUUCACGGCUGACCUGCUGAACUCAUCAUCUGAGAGGUACAGGAUUCUUGUGGAGACCAUCACCCGUGAGGUGGACAAAAUGUAUUCAGAGAAAUUCCCAAAGUCCUUCUUCAGAAGCAUUGUAACAGGAUUCAGGUAG